CUUGGCCUGGGGCUAUCCCAACUGAAUCUACCAAGGAUGUUAAAAAGUAAUGUACGCAUAAAUAAUAUUUUUAUUUUGAAAACACAGUCGUUCCUUGGCUUUAGUGAAGUUCAUCAUCACGAGGUGGUUCGGCGUGAGGUGAACUCUAACCAUACCUCAAGAGAUACCCUACGCGCCUCUCCGAUCGAGGUACAUAUAUAACCGGAUUUCGUACUCCUCUAAUAGGCUGGUCCACAGAACCCGCCCACUGCAGCAAGC
Molecule: long non-coding RNA, 258 nt
Filed under: Theobroma cacao (cacao)
Lineage: Eukaryota; Viridiplantae; Streptophyta; Magnoliopsida; Malvales; Malvaceae
Description: long non-coding RNA (TCAC_LNC006361)
Source: RNAcentral